GUGUCGUGAGAUGUUGGGUUAAGUCCCGCAACGAGCGCAACCCUUGUUCCAUGUUGCCAGCAACCUCUUCGGAGGUUGGGGACUCAUGGGAGACUGCCGGGGUCAACUCGGAGGAAGGUGGGGAUGACGUCAAGUCAUCAUGCCCCUUAUGUCUUGGGCUGCAAACAUGCUACAAUGGCCGGUACAGAGGGCUGCUAAGCCGUAAGGUGGAGCGAAUCCCUAAAAGCCGGCCUCAGUUCGGAUUGGGGUCUGCAACUCGACCCCAUGAAGUCGGAGUCGCUAGUAAUCGCAGAUCAGCAACGCUGCGGUGAAUACGUUCCCGGGCCUUGUACACACCGCCCGUCACGUCACGAAAGUCGGCAACACCCGAAGCCCGUGGCCCAACCAGCUUGCUGGGGGGAGCGUCAAGUGGG
This 413-nucleotide ribosomal RNA is filed under the name uncultured bacterium. Its description in RNAcentral is "bacterial SSU rRNA". It matches the Rfam family "Bacterial small subunit ribosomal RNA", at positions 1062 to 1464 of the family's 1533-position model. The record is from RNAcentral.